AAUAUCGAUACAGUAUUGUGAAAUGAAGUAUCGCGAUAUAUAGCAGAACCGAUAUGUUCUUACACCCCUCGUCACCAGUUAAACAUUUGUUU
Long non-coding RNA from Sphaeramia orbicularis (orbiculate cardinalfish), 92 nucleotides. RefSeq lists it as uncharacterized. The record is from RefSeq and is a predicted model, not a curated record. NCBI's taxonomy places the organism in Eukaryota, Metazoa, Chordata, Actinopteri, Kurtiformes, Apogonidae. The transcript is spliced from 3 exons.